This 497-nucleotide ribosomal RNA is filed under the name uncultured bacterium. RNAcentral's name for it is "partial 16S ribosomal RNA". It matches the Rfam family "Bacterial small subunit ribosomal RNA", at positions 28 to 507 of the family's 1533-position model. The record is from RNAcentral.
GAUGAACGCUGGCGGCGUGCCUAAUACAUGCAAGUCGAGCGAACAGACGAGGAGCUUGCUCCUCUGACGUUAGCGGCGGACGGGUGAGUAACACGUGGAUAACCUACCUAUAAGACUGGGAUAACUUCGGGAAACCGGAGCUAAUACCGGAUAAUAUAUUGAACCGCAUGGUUCAAUAGUGAAAGACGGUUUUGCUGUCACUUAUAGAUGGAUCCGCGCCGCUUUAGCUAGUUGGUAAGGUAACGGCUUACCAAGGCAACGAUGCGUAGCCGACCUGAGAGGGUGAUCGGCCACACUGGAACUGAGACACGGUCCAGACUCCUACGGGAGGCAGCAGUAGGGAAUCUUCCGCAAUGGGCGAAAGCCCGACGGAGCAACGCCGCGUGAGUGAUGAAGGUCUUCGGAUCGUAAAACUCUGUUAUUAGGGAAGAACAAAUGUGUAAGUAACUAUGCACGUCUUGACGGUACCUAAUCAGAAAGCCACGGCUAACUACGUG